RNAcentral lists this ribosomal RNA (253 nucleotides) under uncultured bacterium. RNAcentral's name for it is "partial 16S ribosomal RNA". It matches the Rfam family "Bacterial small subunit ribosomal RNA", at positions 524 to 776 of the family's 1533-position model. The record is from RNAcentral.
GACGAACCACACGAACGUUAUUCGGAAUUACUGGGCUUAAAGGGUGCGUAGGCUGUGCGGAAAGUUGGGUGUGAAAUCCCCCGGCUCAACCGGGGAAUUGCGCCCAAAACUACCGUGCUGGAGAAAGACAGAGGUGAGCGGAACUUCGGGUGGAGCGGUGAAAUGCGUUGAUAUCCGAAGGAACACCGGUGGCGAAAGCGGCUCACUGGGUCUUUUCUGACGCUGAUGCACGAAAGCUAGGGGAGCAAACGGG